This 304-nucleotide long non-coding RNA is filed under the name Carica papaya (papaya). RNAcentral's name for it is "long non-coding RNA (CPAP_LNC013315)". The record is from RNAcentral. Lineage: Eukaryota; Viridiplantae; Streptophyta; Magnoliopsida; Brassicales; Caricaceae.
AUUUAUCGACAUUUUAUCAAGGAAAAAAGAAGUUGUGAUAUUCUAAAUAUUUUCAAUAUAACCUCUGAAUUACAACUUGCAAAUGCCUUCAAUAAAGAACUCGGAAAUAAGUUAUUUCAUAGUUUGAUUUGCAAGAAGGACAUGAGAGGUAUUUAUGUACCAUCUUGAGGAGUAUUGACUACCGAGAUUAUUGAGAAAAUAAUUUAUUAUUUUGUAAAUAUUCCUUAAUAUAAAUCCUAAAUUAGUAAUAUCUAUAUAUAGUUUCUUUUCUGAACCGACGUAGUGCAUAUAAAUAUGUAAAAAG